UGAAUACGAGACGCUACGGCGUCGAAGCAGUCUAUGUCAUACUUCCAAGAAAAGCUUGCACUGUCAUAAACAAAUAAUGCCUGUACCAUAACCGACACAGGUGGGUAGGUAGAGUAUACUAAGGGGCGCGAGAUAACUCUCUCUAAGGAACUCGGCAAAAUGACUCCGUAACUUCGGGAGAAGGAGUGCCUUAUUUAUAAGGUUGCAAUAACAAGAUCCAAGCAACUGUUUAUCAAAAACACAGGUCUCCGCUAAGUCGUAAGACGAUGUAUGGGGGCUGACGCCUGCCCAGUGCCAGAAGGUUAAAGAAGUUGGUUAGCAUUAGCGAAGCUGAUAACUGAAGCCCUGGUGAACGGCGGCCGUAACUAUAACGGUCCUAAGGUAGCGAAAUUCCUUGUCGGGUAAGUUCCGACCCGCACGAAAGGCGUAAUGAUUUGGAUACUGUCUCAGAGAGGGGCUCGGUGAAAUAGACUUGUCUGUGAAGAUGCGGACUACCUGCACCAGGACAGAAAGACCCUAUGAAGCUUUACUGUAACUUGAAAUUGAAAUUGGACUUUAUUUGCGCAGUAUAGGUGGGAGGCAUUGAUAAUAUUCUUGCGGGAAUGUUGGAGCCAUCAGUGAGAUACCACUCUUGUAAUGUUAGAUUUCUAACUUUGGAUCAUUAUCUGGUCAAAGGACAGUUUCAGGCGGGCAGUUUGACUGGGGCGGUCGCCUCCUAAAUGGUAACGGAGGCGCACAAAGGUUUCCUCUGAACGGGUAGAAAUCGUAUCUAGAGUGUAAAGGCAUAAGGAAGCUUGACUGUGAGACCUACAAGUCGAGCAGGGACGAAAGUCGGUCUUAGUGAUCUGACGGUGCUGAGUGGAAAGGCCGUCACUCAACGGAUAAAAGUUACUCUAGGAUAACAGGCUGAUCUCCCCCAAGAGUUCACAUCGACGGGGAGGUUUGGCACCUCGAUGUCGGCUCAUCGCAUCCUGGGGCGGUAGUACGUCCCAAGGGUUGGGCUGUUCGCCCAUGAAAGCGGUACGCGAGCUGGGUUCAGAACGUCGUGAGACAGUUCGGUCCAUAUCCGGUGUAGGCGUUAGAAUAUUGAGAGGAGCCUUCUUUAGUACGAGAGGACCGAGAAGGACAUACCUCUGGUGUACCAGUUAUCGUGCCAACGGUAAACGCUGGGUAGCUAUGUAUGGAGAGGAUAACCGCUGAAAGCAUCUAAGUGGGAAGCCUACCUCAAGAUAAGUAUUCUCAUC
This 1244-nucleotide ribosomal RNA is filed under the name metagenome. RNAcentral's name for it is "bacterial LSU rRNA". It matches the Rfam family "Bacterial large subunit ribosomal RNA", at positions 1564 to 2818 of the family's 2925-position model. The record is from RNAcentral.